UACGUAGGGGGCAAGCGUUGUCCGGAAUCAUUGGGCGUAAAGCGCGUGUAGGCGGUUCAGUAAGUCUGCUGUGAAAGUCCAGGGCUCAACCCUGGGAUGCCGGUGGAUACUGCUGGACUAGAGUGCGGAAGAGGCGAGUGGAAUUCCCGGUGUAGCGGUGAAAUGCGCAGAUAUCGGGAGGAACACCAAUUGCGAAGGCAACUCGCUGGGACGUUACUGACGCUGAGACGCGAAAGCGUGGGGAGCAAACAGG
RNAcentral lists this ribosomal RNA (253 nucleotides) under uncultured bacterium. RNAcentral describes it as "partial 16S ribosomal RNA". It matches the Rfam family "Bacterial small subunit ribosomal RNA", at positions 524 to 776 of the family's 1533-position model. The record is from RNAcentral.